Molecule: transfer RNA, 71 nt
Filed under: Heliconius melpomene (postman butterfly)
Lineage: Eukaryota; Metazoa; Arthropoda; Insecta; Lepidoptera; Nymphalidae
Description: tRNA HMEL015790
Rfam family: tRNA
About the family: Transfer RNA (tRNA) molecules are approximately 80 nucleotides in length. Their secondary structure includes four short double-helical elements and three loops (D, anti-codon, and T loops).
Source: RNAcentral
GGCCCUGUUGCGUAAUUGGUAACGCACCGAUUGACUAAUUCAGGAUCCAGGUUCGAGUCCUGGCAGGGUCU